This 483-nucleotide ribosomal RNA is filed under the name uncultured bacterium. RNAcentral's name for it is "bacterial SSU rRNA". It matches the Rfam family "Bacterial small subunit ribosomal RNA", at positions 28 to 502 of the family's 1533-position model. The record is from RNAcentral.
GAUGAACGCUAGCGAUAGGCCUAACACAUGCAAGUCGAGGGGCAUCACAUGAAGUAGCAAUACGGAUGGUGGCGACCGGCGCACGGGUGAGUAACACGUAUGCAACCUGCCUUCAACAAGGGGAUAACCCGUUGAAAGACGGACUAAUACCCUAUAACACAGGGGUCCCGCAUGGGAAUAUUUGUUAAAGGACAACCGGUUGAAGAUGGGCAUGCGUUCCAUUAGCUAGUUGGCGGGGUAACGGCCACCAAGGCAACGAUGGAUAGGGGAACUGAGAGGUUUAUCCCCCAACUGGUACUGAGACACGGACCAGACUCCUACGGGAGGCAGCAGUGAGGAAUAUUGGUCAAUGGACGCAAGUCUGAACCAGCCACGUCGCGUGAAGGAAGACGGCCCUACGGGUUGUAAACUUCUUUUAUACGAGAAUAAAGUGCCCCACGCGUGGGGUUUUGCAUGUACCGUAUGAAUAAGGAUCGGCUAACU